RNAcentral lists this ribosomal RNA (1423 nucleotides) under uncultured prokaryote. Its description in RNAcentral is "partial 16S ribosomal RNA". It matches the Rfam family "Bacterial small subunit ribosomal RNA". The record is from RNAcentral.
AGUGGCGCACGGGUGCGUAACACGUAGGUGACCUACCUUUAAGUCGGGGACAACAUUGGGAAACCGAUGCUAAUACCGGAUGUGGAAAAUCAUUUUGAAUGAGAUUUUCUAACCUCUGCAUAUGCAGUUGCUAGAAGAAGGGCCUGCGGAACAUUAGCUAGAUGGUAAGGUAAUGGCUUACCAUGGCUACGAUGUUUAGGGGGUCUGAGAGGAUGAUCCCCCACACUGGAACUGAGACACGGUCCAGACUCCUACGGGAGGCAGCAGUAGGGAAUAUUGCGCAAUGGGCGAAAGCCUGACGCAGCAAUGCCGCGUGAGUGAGGAAGGCCUUCGGGUUGUAAAGCUCUGUCAUACGGGAAGAACUGGGAUUGUAUUAAUAGUCCUUAGCUUUGACGGUACCGUAGAAGGAAGCACCGGCUAACUUCGUGCCAGCAGCCGCGGUAAUACGAAGGGUGCAAGCGUUGUUCGGAUUUAUUGGGCGUAAAGCGCGCGCAGGCGGAUGUGCAAGUCAGAUGCGAAAUCUCGGGGCUCAACCCCGAAACUGCGUCUGAAACUGUUCAUCUAGAAUCAUAUAGGGGGUAGGGGAAUUUCACAUGUAGGGGUAAAAUCCGUAGAGAUGUGAAGGAACACCGGAGGCGAAGGCGCCUACCUGGAUAUGUAUUGACGCUGAGGCGCGAAAGCGUGGGUAGCAAACAGGAUUAAGAUACCCUGGUAGUCCACGCCGUAAACGAUGAGCACUAGCUUUUGGAGGUAUUGACCCCUUCAGAGGCGCAGCUAACGCAUUAAGUGCUCCGCCUGGGGAGUACGGUCGCAAGACUAAAACUCAAAGGAAUUGACGGGGGCCCGCACAAGCGGUGGAUUAUGUGGUUUAAUUCGAUGCAACGCGAAGAACCUUACCUGGUCUUGACAUCCUACGAACUUACUAGAGAUAGUUUGGUGCCUUCGGGAACGUAGUGACAGGUGCUGCAUGGCUGUCGUCAGCUCGUGUUGUGAAAUGUUGGGUUAAGUCCCGUAACGAGCGCAACCCUUAUCCUUAUUUGCCAGCACAUAAUGGUGGGGACUAUAAGGAGACUGCCGGUGACAAACCGGAGGAAGGUGGGGACGACGUCAAGUCAUCAUGGCCCUUACGACCUGGGCUACACACGUGCUACAAUGGAUAAUACAGAGGGUUGCGAACCCGUAAGGAGGAGCUAAUCUCAGAAAAUUAUUCGUAGUCCGGAUUGGAGUCUGCAACUCGACUCCAUGAAGUCGGAAUCGCUAGUAAUCGCGAAUCAGCAUGUCGCGGUGAAUACGUUCCCGGGCCUUGUACACACCGCCCGUCACACCAUGGGAGUGGGUUGUACCAGAAGUAGGUAGUCUAACCGCAAGGAGGACCUUACCACUUUGUGGUCAAUGACUGGGGUGAAGUCGUAACAAGGUAACC